CACCCACUUUUCUUCACUGCUUCAUAGUAAGAAACGCCUCUAUCCCUUAACAUGUCCAAGGAAGCAACAGUCACUAGCAACCUAGAGCACCCAAGUUUAGCCAAGCUUGGAGCUCCUGGAGCAACUGGAUUGAUCAGUGGACUGUCAAUACCACCAAUUGCUAAUGGAUUGACAAAAUCCCAACGCAUAUGGACAAUUGUCUUCUCACGUUCU
Molecule: unclassified non-coding RNA, 213 nt
Filed under: Hevea brasiliensis (rubber tree)
Lineage: Eukaryota; Viridiplantae; Streptophyta; Magnoliopsida; Malpighiales; Euphorbiaceae
Source: RNAcentral